AAAACAUUGUUAAACUUUAAGUGCCAUUUACGAAAAUCCAAAUUCUAUAUCACUAAGCCUGGAUCUAAAUAAUAAAUAAUAUCCUCGAAGAAUCUUAGGGCACUUGCAUCGGGCGCUGCUUUGGAUCCGGUUGGAUGCACCACACUCCAAUGCGAAGCAGCUUCUCGGCCUUAGAGGUAGCCUCCAUUUCUUGCCAGACCGAAGCUUCUCAAACCGCCAGGAACUUUGGGCUCCUCCCGCAAGACACACAGGUAUGGAAAGCGCCACUUCCAGCACAAGGAUCCCAAAGCUGUAGAUGUCCAGUUUGUCUCUCACUCUCAUCUGCAACCAUUCCGGAGCCAUGUAUCCGGGUGUUCCUCAGAUCAUUGUCAUGACAUCGCUUAGAUCUCCUUGCUCUACCAUCCUCGACAGUCCAAACUCUGCUAUCUUGACACCAAAGUUUUCGUCCAGGAGUAGGUUUUGCGGCUUGAUGUCCAAGUGCAGGACUCUAGUGCUGCAUUCCUCGUGGAGGUAGCACAUCCCUCGAGCAAUCUCCUCGACUAUCUUGAAUCUCGUGUCCCAGUUGAGCUCUUCCCGCGGCUUGUAGAUCCACUUGUCUAGCGAUCCGUUUGCUACGUACUCGUAAAUCAGGAAGUAGUGUGAUUCCUGGGAAAAAAAGCCUUUGAGUCUUACAAGGUUCUUGUGAUGGAUGAUUCCGAUCGCUCUCACCUCCGCCUUGAACUGUUUGUAUCCUUGGCUCGAGAAGCUCUCCAGCCGUUUCACGGCAACGGAGAGUAUCCCUUCGAAAACCGUGCCAACGCCUCCACUUGCGAUUUUCUCACUGAAGGCUUUGGUUGCAGUGAGGAGCUCCGGGUAAUUAAAGACGCGCAUCAACGAUGGUUUGUAGUGUUUGAGGUACGAGUUUAUCUGUUUCUUCCAGAUCACCAUUGCGAUGAUGAUUAUAGCCAUGGUCGCCACAGAGAAAACCGCGACGAUGGCUGGCUUUGCCUGUUUUUGGUAUUUGGCGACUUUGUGAGUUGCCUGGUGUUGAGAGCUUCGGAAGAUCUCCAGCUUGGUACAACUUGAUCGAAAACAGCAAAGCUUGAUCGACGACGUUGCGAGUUUUGUUCAGAGAAAAAACUUCGGUCAUCUGGAAACAGGUAGUCGUUUCUCCUGGCUUAGCAUCCCUUUGCACGAACAGUUUUUGACACACAGGGCCAUGCACGCUGCUGGAGUGACGUUGUGGAGCGCACUGGAUAAAUCUAGAGGUUUGUAGAAGUAUCGUCCUUUGGCUUCGAGCAUGUAGUAAUGUUGCGAGUUCUCGCAGGUUCUUACAGGUGCUUGCAUCCCUCCUUGUCCCCGGAAGAAACGUACUUCGUGAACGAUGCAGAGGCAUCCUUCAGCUGUCUCGAACGAGAUCCCACAGGUUCGAGUAAGCGAGCUUUUCCCGAAGAAGAGCGGGUUUAAGUUGAUGCUCUUCGUGCUGUUGCCGGUGCUGAAUGAUCUCGAGGUAAACCGGGGCUCUCCAUUCGAGUAGAUCUUGAGGAACUGGUACCCUGCUUGAUCAGUAACACCACCGAUCGUUGGAGUGGACCACAUAACACCUUUCGUCCCGUGGAUUUCCAAGCUGCUAUUGACGAGGAAGAGAAAUGAUAUCUCUUCUUCUUCCUCAUCGAAAAGAUCUCCAGACCUCUCCAAAAGAUCCUCAACAUACUGGAGUUCAAAGCGACCGAGAAGCGGCUACCUCCAGUGAGAAGUACUCUGGCUCUUUGUUCUCCUUAGAGAUGCUGGCUACUAACUUCAUCCCAGGGAGCACAGCAUCACAGACCACCUGCGAGAACCAAAUGAGCAUGAAAGACAACAGCCACGAGAA
This 1852-nucleotide long non-coding RNA is filed under the name Selaginella moellendorffii. RNAcentral's name for it is "long non-coding RNA (SMOE_LNC000140)". Lineage: Eukaryota; Viridiplantae; Streptophyta; Lycopodiopsida; Selaginellales; Selaginellaceae. The record is from RNAcentral.